AUGACCUGUGGCUGGGGGUGAAAGGCCAAUCAAACCGGGAGAUAGCUGGUUCUCCCCGAAAGCUAUUUAGGUAGCGCCUCGUGAAUUCAUCUCCGGGGGUAGAGCACUGUUUCGGCUAGGGGGCCAUCCCGGCUUACCAACCCGAUGCAAACUGCGAAUACCGGAGAAUGUUAUCACGGGAGACACACGGCGGGUGCUAACGUCCGUCGUGAAGAGGGAAACAACCCAGACCGCCAGCUAAGGUCCCAAAGUCAUGGUUAAGUGGGAAACGAUGUGGGAAGGCCCAGACAGCCAGGAUGUUGGCUUAGAAGCAGCCAUCAUUUAAAGAAAGCGUAAUAGCUCACUGGUCGAGUCGGCCUGCGCGGAAGAUGUAACGGGGCUAAACCAUGCACCGAAGCUGCGGCAGCGACACUUUAGUGUUGUUGGGUAGGGGAGCGUUCUGUAAGCCGUUGAAGGUGUCCUGUGAGGGGUGCUGGAGGUAUCAGAAGUGCGAAUGCUGACAUAAGUAACGAUAAAGCGGGUGAAAAGCCCGCUCGCCGGAAGACCAAGGGUUCCUGUCCAACGUUAAUCGGGGCAGGGUGAGUCGACCCCUAAGGCGAGGCCGAAAGGCGUAGUCGAUGGGAAACGGGUUAAUAUUCCCGUACUUGGUGUUACUGCGAAGGGGGGACGGAGAAGGCUAUGUUGGCCGGGCGACGGUUGUCCCGGUUUAAGCGUGUAGGUGUGUGUUCCAGGUAAAUCCGGUUCACUUUAACACUGAGGCGUGAUGACGAGGCACCACGGUGCUGAAGCAACAAAUGCCCUGCUUCCAGGAAAAGCCUCUAAGCAUCAGGUAACAUCAAAUCGUACCCCAAACCGACACAGGUGGUCAGGUAGAGAAUACCAAGGCGCUUGAGAGAACUCGGGUGAAGGAACUAGGCAAAAUGGUGCCGUAACUUCGGGAGAAGGCACGCUGACACGUAGGUGAAGUGAUUUACUCAUGGAGCUGAAGUCAGUCGAAGAUACCAGCUGGCUGCAACUGUUUAUUAAAAACACAGCACUGUGCAAACACGAAAGUGGACGUAUACGGUGUGACGCCUGCCCGGUGCCGGAAGGUUAAUUGAUGGGGUCAGCGCAAGCGAAGCUCCUGAUCGAAGCCCCGGUAAACGGCGGCCGUAACUAUAACGGUCCUAAGGUAGCGAAAUUCCUUGUCGGGUAAGUUCCGACCUGCACGAAUGGCGUAAUGAUGGCCAGGCUGUCUCCACCCGAGACUCAGUGAAAUUGAACUCGCUGUGAAGAUGCAGUGUACCCGCGGCAAGACGGAAAGACCCCGUGAACCUUUACUAUAGCUUGACACUGAACAUUGAGCCUUGAUGUGUAGGAUAGGUGGGAGGCUUUGAAGCGUGGACGCCAGUCUGCGUGGAGCCGACCUUGAAAUACCACCCUUUAAUGUUUGAUGUUCUAACGUGGACCCGUAAUCCGGGUUGCGGACAGUGUCUGGUGGGUAGUUUGACUGGGGCGGUCUCCUCCUAAAGAGUAACGGAGGAGCACGAAGGUUGGCUAAUCCUGGUCGGACAUCAGGAGGUUAGUGCAAUGGCAUAAGCCAGCUUGACUGCGAGCGUGACGGCGCGAGCAGGUGCGAAAGCAGGUCAUAGUGAUCCGGUGGUUCUGAAUGGAAGGGCCAUCGCUCAACGGAUAAAAGGUACUCCGGGGAUAACAGGCUGAUACCGCCCAAGAGUUCAUAUCGACGGCGGUGUUUGGCACCUCGAUGUCGGCUCAUCACAUCCUGGGGCUGAAGUAGGUCCCAAGGGUAUGGCUGUUCGCCAUUUAAAGUGGUACGCGAGCUGGGUUUAGAACGUCGUG
Molecule: ribosomal RNA, 1839 nt
Filed under: Salmonella enterica
Lineage: Bacteria; Pseudomonadati; Pseudomonadota; Gammaproteobacteria; Enterobacterales; Enterobacteriaceae
Description: partial 23S ribosomal RNA
Rfam family: Bacterial large subunit ribosomal RNA
Source: RNAcentral